Molecule: long non-coding RNA, 302 nt
Filed under: Arachis ipaensis
Lineage: Eukaryota; Viridiplantae; Streptophyta; Magnoliopsida; Fabales; Fabaceae
Description: long non-coding RNA (AIPA_LNC002293)
Source: RNAcentral
CUUUUUUUUUUGAUUAUUGAUUUUGAUGGAAGUGAUUCAAGGCUUCCAAUCAGAUAUCAAGCUCCUCAAGAUUAAAAACCUUGUGGGGUCUGAAUUUUUUGGCACUCUUGUGAUUCUAAAAUUUCACUGUAUAUAAUAUAAGAUAUUGUUAGCAAAAUAGUAACGAUUAAUGAAUGAUUAUAGUUUACUCAUUUUCCAGUGUGUAUGUUCUGUUCUUUGUUAUCUGUUUGUGAUGAUGCAUCUUAUUAUUUCUUGAAUCUUAAUUUGUUUUAUUUGUUCAUUUGUGUCUGCAACUAUAGGCC